RNAcentral lists this ribosomal RNA (470 nucleotides) under uncultured bacterium. Its description in RNAcentral is "bacterial SSU rRNA". It matches the Rfam family "Bacterial small subunit ribosomal RNA", at positions 39 to 500 of the family's 1533-position model. The record is from RNAcentral.
GCGGCAGGCCUAACACAUGCAAGUCGAGGGGUAACAGAGAGAAGCUUGCUUUUCUGCUGACGACCGGCGCACGGGUGCGUAACGCGUAUACAAUCUGCCUUAUACAGAGGGAUAGCCUUUAGAAAUGAAGAUUAAUACCUUAUAGUCUAUUUUUAUAGCAUUAUAUAAAUAGUAAAGCUUCGGUGGUAUAAGAUGAGUAUGCGUCCUAUUAGUUAGUUGGUAAGGUAACGGCUUACCAAGACAACGAUAGGUAGGGGCCCUGAGAGGGGGAUCCCCCACACUGGUACUGAGACACGGACCAGACUCCUACGGGAGGCAGCAGUGAGGAAUAUUGGACAAUGGAGGCAACUCUGAUCCAGCCAUGCCGCGUGCAGGAUGACGGCCCUAUGGGUUGUAAACUGCUUUUAUAUAGGAAGAAACCUUUUCACGUGUGAGAAGCUGACGGUACUAUAAGAAUAAGGACCGGCUAA